This 73-nucleotide transfer RNA is filed under the name Patescibacteria group bacterium. RNAcentral describes it as "tRNA-Phe". It matches the Rfam family "tRNA". From Rfam's summary of the family: Transfer RNA (tRNA) molecules are approximately 80 nucleotides in length. Their secondary structure includes four short double-helical elements and three loops (D, anti-codon, and T loops). RNAcentral also lists the same sequence under 2 other names. The record is from RNAcentral.
GCCAGAGUAGCCAAGGUGGUCACGGCGCGUGUCUGAAAAACAUGAGAUCUCGGUUCGACUCCGAGCUCUGGCA